ACGCCGUAAACGAUGCUAACUCGUUUUUGGAUUUUCGGAUUCAGAGACUAAGCGAAAGUGAUAAGUUAGCCACCUGGGGAGUACGUUCGCAAGAAUGAAACUCAAAGGAAUUGACGGGGGCCCGCACAAGCGGUGGAUUAUGUGGUUUAAUUCGAUGAUACGCGAGGAACCUUACCAAGGCUUAAAUGGGAAAUGACAGGUUUAGAAAUAGACUUUUCUUCGGACAUUUUUCAAGGUGCUGCAUGGUUGUCGUCAGCUCGUGCCGUGAGGUGUUAGGUUAAGUCCUGCAACGAGCGCAACCCCUGUCACUAGUUGCCAUCAUUAAGUUGGGGACUCUAGUGAGACUGCCUACGCAAGUAGAGAGGAAGGUGGGGAUGACGUCAAAUCAUCACGGCCCUUACGCCUUGGGCCACACACGUAAUACAAUGGCCAGUACAGAGGGCAGCUACACAGCGAUGUGAUGCAAAUCUCGAAAGCUGGUCUCAGUUCGGAUUGGAGUCUGCAACUCGACUCUAUGAAGCUGGAAUCGCUAGUAAUCGCGCAUCAGCCAUGGCGCGGUGAAUACGUUCCCGGGCCUUGUACACACCGCCCGUCAAGCCAUGGAAGUCUGGGGUACCUGAAGUCGGUGACCGUAACAGGAG
This 641-nucleotide ribosomal RNA is filed under the name Chryseobacterium ureilyticum. RNAcentral describes it as "bacterial SSU rRNA". It matches the Rfam family "Bacterial small subunit ribosomal RNA", at positions 797 to 1445 of the family's 1533-position model. The record is from RNAcentral. Lineage: Bacteria; Pseudomonadati; Bacteroidota; Flavobacteriia; Flavobacteriales; Weeksellaceae.